UUCCGUAGGUGAACCUGCGAAGGAUCAUUA
RNAcentral lists this ribosomal RNA (30 nucleotides) under Aspergillus niger. RNAcentral's name for it is "partial 18S ribosomal RNA". RNAcentral also lists the same sequence under 1 other name. Lineage: Eukaryota; Fungi; Ascomycota; Eurotiomycetes; Eurotiales; Aspergillaceae. The record is from RNAcentral.